This 724-nucleotide ribosomal RNA is filed under the name uncultured bacterium. RNAcentral's name for it is "bacterial SSU rRNA". It matches the Rfam family "Bacterial small subunit ribosomal RNA", at positions 60 to 771 of the family's 1533-position model. The record is from RNAcentral.
AGUCGAGGGGCAGCAUGGUCUUAGCUUGCUAAGGCUGAUGGCGACCGGCGCACGGGUGAGUAACACGUAUCCAACCUGCCGUCUACUCUUGGCCAGCCUUCUGAAAGGAAGAUUAAUCCAGGAUGGGAUCAUGAGUUCACAUGUCCGCAUGAUUAAAGGUAUUUUCCGGUAGACGAUGGGGAUGCGUUCCAUUAGAUAGUAGGCGGGGUAACGGCCCACCUAGUCAACGAUGGAUAGGGGUUCUGAGAGGAAGGUCCCCCACAUUGGAACUGAGACACGGUCCAAACUCCUACGGGAGGCAGCAGUGAGGAAUAUUGGUCAAUGGGCGAUGGCCUGAACCAGCCAAGUAGCGUGAAGGAUGACUGCCCUAUGGGUUGUAAACUUCUUUUAUAAAGGAAUAAAGUCGGGUAUGCAUACCCGUUUGCAUGUACUUUAUGAAUAAGGAUCGGCUAACUCCGUGCCAGCAGCCGCGGUAAUACGGAGGAUCCGAGCGUUAUCCGGAUUUAUUGGGUUUAAAGGGAGCGUAGAUGGAUGUUUAAGUCAGUUGUGAAAGUUUGCGGCUCAACCGUAAAAUUGCAGUUGAUACUGGAUGUCUUGAGUGCAGUUGAGGCAGGCGGAAUUCGUGGUGUAGCGGUGAAAUGCUUAGAUAUCACGAAGAACUCCGAUUGCGAAGGCAGCCUGCUAAGCUGCAACUGACAUUGAGGCUCGAAAGUGUGGGUAUCAA